CACAAGCGGAGGAACAUGUGGUUUAAUUCGAUGAUACGCGAGGAACCUUACCUGGGCUUAAAUGGGGAGUGACAGCUGUCGAAAGAUGGUUUUCUUCGGACACUCUUCAAGGUGCUGCAUGGUUGUCGUCAGCUCGUGCCGUGAGGUGUCGGGUUAAGUCCCAUAACGAGCGCAACCCUUACCGUUAGUUACCAUCAGGUUAAGCUGGGGACUCUAGCGGGACUGCCACCGUAAGGUGAGAGGAAGGUGGGGAUGACGUCAAAUCAGCACGGCCCUUAUGUCCAGGGCUACACACGUGUUACAAUGGCCGGUACAAAGGGCAGCUACUUCGCGAGAAGAUGCUAAUCUCGAAAGCCGGUCUCAGUUCGGAUCGAAGUCUGCAACCCGACUUCGUGAAGCUGGAUUCGCUAGUAAUCGCGCAUCAGCCAUGGCGCGGUGAAUACGUUCCCGGGCCUU
Molecule: ribosomal RNA, 456 nt
Filed under: uncultured Sphingobacteriales bacterium
Lineage: Bacteria; Pseudomonadati; Bacteroidota; Sphingobacteriia; Sphingobacteriales
Description: bacterial SSU rRNA
Rfam family: Bacterial small subunit ribosomal RNA
Source: RNAcentral